UUCCCUUCUCCUCUCUCACGGCGUUUCUUCAAGUCUCUCUUGUCUCCGUUUUUGGAGGUAGUUCUCUCUCUCUCUCUCUCGUGUCUUCUGAUGCCAAAGAACCAAGCAAGUCUUCUUCUGCUCAAAGAUCUGUCUAAGAACCUGGAUGAUGGUUUAAAGUCUGUGAUUUACCGUUGCCCUCCCAUCGACUUCUUGUCUAGGGCACAUGAGCAGUUGUAACGGCGGUAUGUGGUUUCACGAUGAUGUUCCCCAUCAGGCCGAUAGGAGUAAAUCUCUCGCACUCUGUUUUUGGUGAAACCCAUGGAACCUCUCUUUCUCUCUCUCCUCUCUGGUGAUGCACAAUGCGGUCUCCUCUCGGUGUUCAUCUAGGGCAGCGAGGCACCGUCGGCUUGAUCUUUUCCUUUCUUCCUCUUUGCUUCACAGAUCAAUCGUUGGUGGUCCUCAGCUCAAAGGUGUAAAUUAUCAUGUCGCCUCUUCUACUUAUAUUCUCUUUAAUCUGGCUGCUUGAUGUCGUCCUUUUAUAUUUGUUCAUGCCAGACCUGAAAUUUUGGUGUUGGAACAACUUUGCUUUCAAGUUGGCAGAGAAGCUAUGAGGCAGCCAAAAGAUUAAGAAGCAGAUCCGAUGAAUUUCACAGAAUCAAAGACCCUUAUUUAUAGAGUAAGGAGAUUGAACAUGGAUCGACACCAGGACGACGUCCGGAAGAGAUGAAGUUUUGUGAGUCGGUCUAUUCAUUAGACCAAUUUGGGCUUUGGUUUGAUAUAUUUUAUGGCCCAAUUCUAAAUAUAUAUUAUUAUGUAUCGAACAAAAUCCGAAGGCCACACCUAUUGUACACUUAAAUUAAUGAAACACAUAGUUU
Long non-coding RNA from Brassica oleracea var. oleracea, 857 nucleotides. RefSeq lists it as uncharacterized. The transcript has 3 exons. Lineage: Eukaryota; Viridiplantae; Streptophyta; Magnoliopsida; Brassicales; Brassicaceae. The record is from RefSeq and is a predicted model, not a curated record.